CCGCUGAACUUAAGCAUAUAACUAAGCGGAGGAGAAGAAACUAACCAGGAUUCCCCUAGUAACUGCGAGUGAAGCGGGAAGAGCUCAGACUGAAAAUCUUCGGAGUUGUAGUCUGUCGAGGUCAAGUCAAUCAGUGUCGUCGAGCGAAGUGUGGUUGAAUCCACUGCCGAGGAGGGUGAAAGCCCCGUGCCCGCUUGAAUGUAUCUGGUGUACGACUGGCCUUCAACGAGUCGAGUUGUUUGGGAUUGCAGCUCUAAGCGGGUGGUAAAUUCCAUCUAAAGCUAAAUAUGGGUGGGAGACCGAUAGCGAACAAGUACCGUGAGGGAAAGAUGAAAAGAACUUUGAAAAGAGAGUUAAAAAGUACCUGAAAUUGCUGAAAAGGAAUCGAAAGGAGGCAGUGUUGGUCUGCUAUCAUAUACGGGCUCUGCGUGCAGGGUUUGUGAUGGUGGUGGACAAGUCAGGCUUGCUUGUGUGUGCGGGAGAGGGUCAUCGGGCUUUAUGCUGGUGUUUCCUGCCGUGCGUGCGAGCGACCUCUGACGAAAUGCCUCUUUUCAUCCCGUCUUGAAACACGG
RNAcentral lists this ribosomal RNA (572 nucleotides) under uncultured fungus. RNAcentral describes it as "eukaryotic LSU rRNA". It matches the Rfam family "Eukaryotic large subunit ribosomal RNA", at positions 25 to 664 of the family's 3401-position model. Lineage: Eukaryota; Fungi. The record is from RNAcentral.